Molecule: transfer RNA, 64 nt
Filed under: Rhaetus westwoodii
Lineage: Eukaryota; Metazoa; Arthropoda; Insecta; Coleoptera; Lucanidae
Description: tRNA-Thr
Source: RNAcentral
UUAAUAAUUUAAAAAAAAAUACUGGUCUUGUAAACCAGAAAUAAGAUCCUCUUUUAAAACUUCA